UACGUAGGGGGCAAGCGUUGUCCGGAAUCAUUGGGCUUAAAGAGCGUGUAGGCGGCCCGGUAAGUCCGCUGUGAAAGUCCAGGGCUCAACCCUGGGAUGCCGGUGGAUACUGUCGGGCUCGAGUCCGGAAGAGGAGUGUGGAAUUCCUGGUGUAGCGGUGAAAUGCGCAGAUAUCAGGAGGAACACCAAUGGCGAAGGCAGCACUCUGGGACGUGACUGACGCUGAGACGCGAAAGCUAGGGGAGCAAACGGG
RNAcentral lists this ribosomal RNA (253 nucleotides) under uncultured bacterium. RNAcentral describes it as "partial 16S ribosomal RNA". It matches the Rfam family "Bacterial small subunit ribosomal RNA", at positions 524 to 776 of the family's 1533-position model. The record is from RNAcentral.